This 411-nucleotide ribosomal RNA is filed under the name Actinomycetes bacterium. RNAcentral describes it as "Actinobacteria bacterium partial 16S ribosomal RNA". It matches the Rfam family "Bacterial small subunit ribosomal RNA", at positions 355 to 776 of the family's 1533-position model. Lineage: Bacteria; Bacillati; Actinomycetota; Actinomycetes. The record is from RNAcentral.
UGGGGAAUAUUGCACAAUGGGCGCAAGCCUGAUGCAGCGACGCCGCGUGGGGGAUGACGGCCUUCGGGUUGUAAACUCCUUUCGCUAGGGACGAAGCUGUUUGUGACGGUACCUAGAUAAGAAGCACCGGCUAACCACGUGCCAGCAGCCGCGGUAAUACGUAGGGUGUGAGCGUUGUCCGGAAUUACUGGGCGUAAAGGGCUCGUAGGUGGUUUGUCGCGUCGUCUGUGAAAUUCCGGGGCUUAACUCCGGGCGUGCAGGCGAUACGGGCAUAACUUGAGUACUGUAGGGGUAACUGGAAUUCCUGGUGUAGCGGUGAAAUGCGCAGAUAUCAGGAGGAACACCGAUGGCGAAGGCAGGUUACUGGGCAGUUACUGACGCUGAGGAGCGAAAGCAUGGGUAGCGAACAGG